Molecule: ribosomal RNA, 1096 nt
Filed under: Acinetobacter sp. A1salkA7
Lineage: Bacteria; Pseudomonadati; Pseudomonadota; Gammaproteobacteria; Moraxellales; Moraxellaceae
Description: bacterial SSU rRNA
Rfam family: Bacterial small subunit ribosomal RNA
Source: RNAcentral
ACUGGACCUAGCGGCGGACGGGUGAGUAAUGCUUAGGAAUCUGCCUAUUAGUGGGGGACAACAUUCCGAAAGGAAUGCUAAUACCGCAUACGUCCUACGGGAGAAAGCAGGGGACCUUCGGGCCUUGCGCUAAUAGAUGAGCCUAAGUCGGAUUAGCUAGUUGGUGGGGUAAAGGCCUACCAAGGCGACGAUCUGUAGCGGGUCUGAGAGGAUGAUCCGCCACACUGGGACUGAGACACGGCCCAGACUCCUACGGGAGGCAGCAGUGGGGAAUAUUGGACAAUGGGGGGAACCCUGAUCCAGCCAUGCCGCGUGUGUGAAGAAGGCCUUAUGGUUGUAAAGCACUUUAAGCGAGGAGGAGGCUACUAGUAUUAAUACUACUGGAUAGUGGACGUUACUCGCAGAAUAAGCACCGGCUAACUCUGUGCCAGCAGCCGCGGUAAUACAGAGGGUGCGAGCGUUAAUCGGAUUUACUGGGCGUAAAGCGUGCGUAGGCGGCCAUUUAAGUCAAAUGUGAAAUCCCCGAGCUUAACUUGGGAAUUGCAUUCGAUACUGGAUGGCUAGAGUAUGGGAGAGGAUGGUAGAAUUCCAGGUGUAGCGGUGAAAUGCGUAGAGAUCUGGAGGAAUACCGAUGGCGAAGGCAGCCAUCUGGCCUAAUACUGACGCUGAGGUACGAAAGCAUGGGGAGCAAACAGGAUUAGAUACCCUGGUAGUCCAUGCCGUAAACGAUGUCUACUAGCCGUUGGGGCCUUUGAGGCUUUAGUGGCGCAGCUAACGCGAUAAGUAGACCGCCUGGGGAGUACGGUCGCAAGACUAAAACUCAAAUGAAUUGACGGGGGCCCGCACAAGCGGUGGAGCAUGUGGUUUAAUUCGAUGCAACGCGAAGAACCUUACCUGGCCUUGACAUACUAGAAACUUUCCAGAGAUGGAUUGGUGCCUUCGGGAAUCUAGAUACAGGUGCUGCAUGGCUGUCGUCAGCUCGUGUCCUGAGAUGUUGGGUUAAGUCCCGCAACGAGCGCAACCCUUUUCCUUACUUGCCAGCAUUUCGGAUGGGAACUUUAAGGAUACUGCCAGUGACGAACUGGAAGGAAGGCGG